GACGAACGCUGGCGGCGUGCUUAACACAUGCAAGUCGAACGGAAAGGCCCUGCUUUUGUUGGUUGCUCGAGUGGCGAACGGGUGAGUAACACGUGAGUAACCUGCCCUUGACUUUGUGAUAUCUUCAGGAAACUGGGGCUAAUACCGGAUAGGAUCUCCUGCUGCAUGUUGGGGGUUGGAAAGUUUCGGCGGUUGGGGAUGUACUCGCGGCUUAUCAGCUUGUUGGUGGGGUAGUGGCUUACCAAGGCUUUGACGGGUAGCCGGCCUGAGAGGGUGACCGGCCACACUGGGACUGAGAUACGGCACAGACUCCGAAGGGAGGGAGCAGUGGGGAAGAUUGAACAAUGGGCGGAAGCCUGAUGCAGAAACGCCGCGUGCGGGAUAACGGCCUUAGGGUUGUAAACCGAUUUCGCCUGUGACGAAGCGUGAGUGAAGGGAAUGGGUAAAGAAGCACAGGCUAAAUAAGUG
Molecule: ribosomal RNA, 468 nt
Filed under: uncultured bacterium
Lineage: Bacteria
Description: partial 16S ribosomal RNA
Rfam family: Bacterial small subunit ribosomal RNA
Source: RNAcentral